UGGAGCUGGGAACGGGGGCAGACAAGUGUCACUGUCAACGUACUGACCCUUACAGAGGAUGGUAAGGGCCAUCCGGCCUUGGCGGAGAAGGAGAUCCCUGGCGAGGUCAGCAUCAACACAAACGUUUUCAACAUUGCCAUUGCCUAGUUACUUUUUAAUUCAUGUACAUGUACUAGUAUUAGUUGUUAUUUUGUAUUCUAUCAUACUUUGUAUAGCCGGUCUAAGCGCCCUUCGGCAUAAGACAGUUUGAUUGCAUGAAAUGUUAAAAAAAAGUUUGUAGUACUGAAGCCCGAACUACAAGUUCCAGUAUACGAUAGUUCUUAUUUUGUAUUCUGUCAUACUUUGUAUACGUAUAGCCGGUCUAAGCGCCCUUCGGCAUAAGACACUUUUAUUGCAUGAAAUGUUUACAAAAAGUUUGUAGUACUGAAGCCCGAACUACAAGUUCCAGUAUACGAUAGUUCUUAUUUUGUAUUCUGUCAUACUUUGUAUACGUAUAGCCGGUCUAAGCGCCCUUCGGCAUAAGACACUUUUAUUGCAUGAAGUGUUUACAAAAAAGUUUGUAGUA
Long non-coding RNA from Branchiostoma belcheri (Belcher's lancelet), 565 nucleotides. RefSeq lists it as uncharacterized. The transcript is spliced from 3 exons. Lineage: Eukaryota; Metazoa; Chordata; Leptocardii; Amphioxiformes; Branchiostomatidae. The record is from RefSeq and is a predicted model, not a curated record.